GAUGAACGCUAGCGACAGGCCUAACACAUGCAAGUCGAGGGGCAGCGGGGAUGAAGCUUGCUUCAUCUGCCGGCGACCGGCGCACGGGUGAGUAACACGUAUGCAACCUGCCCGCCACAGGGGGAUAAACGCUGGAAACGGCGCCUAAUACCCCAUACUAUCGCUAUGCUGCAUGGCAUGGCGAUCGAAAACUCCGGUGGUGGCGGAUGGGCAUGCGGCGCAUUAGCUAGUUGGAGGGGUAACGGCCCACCAAGGCGACGAUGCGUAGGGGUUCUGAGAGGAAGGUCCCCCACACUGGUACUGAGACACGGGACCAG
Molecule: ribosomal RNA, 317 nt
Filed under: uncultured bacterium
Lineage: Bacteria
Description: bacterial SSU rRNA
Rfam family: Bacterial small subunit ribosomal RNA
Source: RNAcentral